Non-coding RNA from Pocillopora verrucosa, 2149 nucleotides. NCBI's taxonomy places the organism in Eukaryota, Metazoa, Cnidaria, Anthozoa, Scleractinia, Pocilloporidae. The record is from RefSeq and is a predicted model, not a curated record.
AUUUCGAUCAGGUGCUGUGCGGCAUGGAUGCCUUCGAUAUUCGAAGAGCUGAAUUGCUGCACUCCACGAGCGAUUCGAGGGACUGGUAUCUCCUGAAUUCCAAAAUAUGCGGCAUUCCUGCAGGAAAAUUCAUGUCGAGUAGCCCUUUGGUGUCAAGCUUUCCAAAAGAAUUUAACACAGUGCAACUCUCGAAUCUUAAAAAUGGCGGGCACUUGGAUCGACGACUAGUUCACAAAGAAGAGGUAUUCAUAGCCUCUUCUUUCGGCGUUGUUUCCGCGAUACUUCGGCAAAAACUAAAAGCGGGCGAAGAAGAAAAGUACAGUUGGUUGGUUGAUGGCAUCAACAGCCUAAAUAUUGGCCAAGAUAAUGAAGAUUGCCAAACAGCGACUGACACACGUGACAACAACAAGGACAAAAUUCAUGACCCUGUACAAACAGUAUUUGGAGUCGAUUCAAGGUCAGCCAUAUCCAUAGAGGAUAUCGAGAAGAGUCAAGAUGAAAAUCUUAAGCUUAAGGCUGAACUUGAAGUUGUGCUUCCCCAGUUAGAGGCCCUUCGAGAUGAGGUAAAAAACGGCGGUCAAUCGACGCUGAGCUCAGGCACACAGGACCCGGUAAAGGACAACCCGGACAGUACAAGCGAUAUGUGGACCUUGAUCGGCGAUGUUUGCGAUAAGUUCCAGGUGCCUCUUGCAUCUUUAUUCGCCGAUCAGGUGGACCAGAAUGUUGAAGUGGCUAAAGUGAUGAGCGAUAUCGCAGAACAGCUGCUGAGAAAAAAGACCCGAAGCAAGCCCUGGAAGCAAUACUGGGGGACAGUGCCCCAAAAUUCUUUAAAUCCCUUCGUGUGCCCGAUUGGACGUUGCUUUACUUCAAGCUGCAGUCCCGGAUCCCAGACCAAGGAUGGCAAACCUUGUUGAACUUUACAAAGUUAGGGCGAACUAAGGUUGAAGUCCUGGCAUAAUUGUAUGCCUGAUUGCUUCUGGGAUAUCUAAUAUCGGCAUCACGACAUCACGUCAAUGUGAAUUUUGGAGACAUGCAUGCCGAAAGAUUUGGUCUGCUACAGCAGGAGUUAGAUACUAAGCUACAGUUCUGGAAAACAAAACAACAGGAAGUUCUUGCAAAGCUGUCCAUUCUUCGAAAAAACAAGAAGUACCCAAAGGAAGUCCAGAAUUAUGUUGCUCAGUAUCAACAGGAUGCCUACAAAAAUCGCACACUAUUACCUGGCUCAACACGGGAGAGAGAAGCUUUAUCCGGCAAUGUUUUGAAGAAAUGUUGCAAAAUGUCAAGCCUGGCUUAUUAAGCUUGGUAUUGGUUCCGGUAAACAUGGACAAUGUACAUUAGGGACUAAUGGUCCUCGAUGUAAAAAACAAAGAAGCGUAUUUUGAUGAUGGCCUUGGAUAUUCUUUCUCCAAAACUUCUUAUGUCUUUCUUAUCACGAGUGAGCUUCAGUCCAAGUUUCCAGACUGCGAUGACUUUUCUCUGGAUGACUGGCGUAAUGUAAAAACAUUCAAAAGGUUUGGAAUGCCGAGACAACCGACAGAUGGCCAACUAAUUGGAAGCGGCAGUUGUGGCGUUUGGGUUAUUCUAGCGGCCCUUGAUUUUAUGACCUCUUCACAACCUCAAGUUGUUUCACGGUCGUGGAACUUCAGUGAGAUGACAGCACACAGGAAGGACAUAAUGAAACUGCUUGCUUGCCGGUAGUUUAUUCUCUUCGAAGCCAUAAGCCAGCUACAAGUUUGGCCAAAACGUUUGAGACACUGCCGCGAAAAGAGAAAUUUUCUUUACGCUCCCUUCUCCAAUUCACUAAUUAUCAGUAAUUCUUACCAUUAAACUUUUGUAUCUUUUAAUAAGUUGAAAAUGUUCGGCUACUUCCAUGUUAAGCAGCAAGACUCUCAACAAAAACCUUAUUCCAAAAUUUUCCCUUUCAGUGAAUCGCAACGGAACAUAGUAGCUUCAAAUUUAUGACGUCAGGUUUAUGACGUAACCUUAUAACAUACUAUUUACACUGGAAAAAUCAAAUGUACAGCUGUAAAGCUAAAGAUGACAUGAGAAUGUCGUGCAAAUUUAAAAAUGUUACUUUUUUAACUUUUUGUUACUCUGUUGUUUUACCACUGUUUAAUUUUAACGUCAGAGUACUUUUCAAUCACCAAAU